This 256-nucleotide unclassified non-coding RNA is filed under the name uncultured fungus. RNAcentral describes it as "sequence contains 5.8S rRNA gene". The stretch from base 1 to 53 matches the Rfam family "5.8S ribosomal RNA", at positions 102 to 154 of the family's 154-position model. The record is from RNAcentral. Lineage: Eukaryota; Fungi.
GAACGCACAUUGCGCCCUUUGGUAUUCCGAAGGGCAUCCCUGUUCGAGCGUCAUUAUCAAACCAUCAAGCUUAGCUUGUCGUUGGGCCCUUUGUCACCUGGUGAUAGGUCCAAAAGAUAAUGACUGGUGUCGUAAAGACUCUAUAUGCAACGAGCUUGUAACAGCACGCAUCUAGUAGUCAUAUGGCCCCGGUUUAUCACCCCUUUAUUUCUCAAGGUUGACCUCGGAUCAGGUAGGAAUACCCGCUGAACUUAAG